GGGGUAUAGCUCAGUGGUCGAGCAUUCGACUGCACAUCGAGGGGGUCCCCCGGGUUUAAACCCCGGGUGCCCCC
Non-coding RNA from Trichonephila inaurata madagascariensis, 74 nucleotides. NCBI's taxonomy places the organism in Eukaryota, Metazoa, Arthropoda, Arachnida, Araneae, Nephilidae. The record is from the annotation of a GenBank genome assembly.